Molecule: ribosomal RNA, 253 nt
Filed under: uncultured bacterium
Lineage: Bacteria
Description: partial 16S ribosomal RNA
Rfam family: Bacterial small subunit ribosomal RNA
Source: RNAcentral
UACGAAGGGGGCUAGCGUUGCUCGGAAUCACUGGGCGUAAAGCGCACGUAGGCGGACUCUUAAGUCGGUGGUGAAAUCCUGGAGCUCAACUCCAGAACUGCCUUCGAUACUGAGAGUCUUGAGUCCGGGAGAGGUGAGUGGAACUGCGAGUGUAGAGGUGAAAUUCGUAGAUAUUCGCAAGAACACCAGUGGCGAAGGCGGCUCACUGGCCCGGUACUGACGCUGAGGUGCGAAAGCCAGGGGAGCAAACGGG